Molecule: ribosomal RNA, 482 nt
Filed under: uncultured bacterium
Lineage: Bacteria
Description: partial 16S ribosomal RNA
Rfam family: Bacterial small subunit ribosomal RNA
Source: RNAcentral
GAUGAACGCUAGCGGCAGGCCUAAUACAUGCAAGUCGGACGGGAUUCAGGAGCUUGCUUCUGAUGAGAGUGGCGCACGGGUGCGUAACACGUAUGUAACCUACCUUUAUCAGGGGGAUAGCCUCUCGAAAGAGAGAUUAAGCCCGCAUAAAAUCACAGCACAGCAUUGUGUAAUGAUCAAAUAUUUAUAGGAUAAAGAUGGGCAUGCGGAACAUUAGCUAGAUGGCGGGGUAACGGCCCACCAUGGCGACGAUGUUUAGGGGAUCUGAGAGGAUGGCCCCCCACACUGGUACUGAGACACGGACCAGACUCCUACGGGAGGCAGCAGUAAGGAAUAUUGGUCAAUGGGCGGAAGCCUGAACCAGCCAUGCCGCGUGCAGGAAGACGGCCCUACGGGUUGUAAACUGCUUUUAUACGGGAAUAAACCCAGAUACGUGUAUCUGGCUGAAGGUACUGUAAGAAUAAGGAUCGGCUAACUCCGUG